This 250-nucleotide ribosomal RNA is filed under the name uncultured bacterium. RNAcentral describes it as "partial 16S ribosomal RNA". It matches the Rfam family "Bacterial small subunit ribosomal RNA", at positions 57 to 305 of the family's 1533-position model. The record is from RNAcentral.
GCAAGUCGAGCGGAAACGAUUGGAGCUUGCUCCCAGGCGUCGAGCGGCGGACGGGUGAGUAACGCGUAGGAAUCUACCCAGAAGAGGGGGAUAGCCCGGGGAAACCCGGAUUAAUACCGCAUACGCCCUAAGGGGGAAAGGCCGGGAUCUUCGGACCGGUCAGUAUUGGAUGAGCCUGCGUAAGAUUAGCUAGUUGGUAGGGUAAAGGCCUACCAAGGCGACGAUCCAUAGCUGGUCUGAGAGGAUGAUC